CUAAAAGUAAGUUAAAAAAACUAUUGGAUUCAUACUCCAACCUUGAUAAUAUCCUUUUAGA
Molecule: transfer RNA, 61 nt
Filed under: Scirtothrips dorsalis
Lineage: Eukaryota; Metazoa; Arthropoda; Insecta; Thysanoptera; Thripidae
Description: tRNA-Met
Source: RNAcentral